AUUGAACGCUGGCGGCAGGCCUAACACAUGCAAGUCGAACGGUAACAGGAAGCAGCUUGCUGCUUUUCUGACGAGUGGCGGACGGGUGAGUAAUGUCUGGGAAACUUCCCGAUGGAGGGGGAUAACUACUGGAAACGGUAGCUAAUACCGCAUAACGUCGCAAGACCAAAGAGGGGGACCUUAGGGCCUCUUGCCAUCGGAUGUGCCCAGAUGGGAUUAGCUAGUAGGUGGGGUAACGGCUCACCUAGGCGACGAUCCCUAGCUGGUCUGAGAGGAUGACCAGCCACACUGGAACUGAGACACGGUCCAGACUCCUACGGGAGGCAGCAGUGGGGAAUAUUGCACAAUGGGCGCAAGCCUGAUGCAGCCAUGCCGCGUGUAUGAAGAAGGCCUUCGGGUUGUAAAGUACUUUCAGCGGGGAGGAAGGGAGUAAAGUUAAUACCUUUGCUCAUUGACGUUACCCGCAGAAGAAGCACCGGCUAACUCCGUG
This 490-nucleotide ribosomal RNA is filed under the name uncultured bacterium. RNAcentral describes it as "partial 16S ribosomal RNA". It matches the Rfam family "Bacterial small subunit ribosomal RNA", at positions 30 to 507 of the family's 1533-position model. The record is from RNAcentral.